This 23-nucleotide non-coding RNA is filed under the name Cricetulus griseus (Chinese hamster). Lineage: Eukaryota; Metazoa; Chordata; Mammalia; Rodentia; Cricetidae. The record is from RNAcentral.
CAGUCAGAUUAGCAGAGAGCUGA